ACCAGAUUCCCUCGAUUGUUACAUACGGCAUCAUCGUUCGGCGAGCGUUCAUUGCGUCCCGUGGAAAUUCGAACGAGCACCGUCCGCCAUGCUCGAGGAAACACACUUGCCAUACUUGAAAACAUGAGAGUUUUUUUUACUUGUGAGUGAUAUAUGAAUCAAGUAAAGAUUUACGUUAAAACUCAUUGUAACAAAUCUACCGCGAAAUGACAGUCGGUUUGGGACAUGGCCUUCGACUCAAAGUGGCCGGAGAUGGGCAACAUUUGGGCAUUUGGGCAUCCUAUUGCAGUGCAGACGUAACAUAAACAAUCGAUAUUUCUGUUCUUCGAUCAUCCAUUUUGAUAUUGAUUGAAUAUUAAUAUCGACACUCUAAAAUCGGCCAUAAUUGCCCAAUCUAUGAAAGGAGAGGAAGGUAUGAAUUUCCAUGGAAUUUACAAUGAUAUUAUUUUACUCACGUGUUGGCGAUAUAUGCAGCCUACAAAGUUGCAAUGUAUGUAAGUGAAAUUUUGUGUUAAUCGUUUAUUUGACUUUCAAUUUUCGACAUUUUUCAUUCCGUUUUUAUGUUUUCAAUCCAGUCGUGCAAAACAGAGGAUAUUAUUUUUUUUAUAUUGUUAUUAGCAAAUAAAGACGUCUAUUUUCAAUAAUAAUCUAGAGAAUACGUCAGAUAAAUAAUUAGCUAUAUAAUCAUAUCGCUAUAAACAGACUUUCUGUUGUCGCGCUUAAAUCUUGAAACUUUAAAUUGUUGCCACUGUCAAAGAAAAGUUGAAGAAUUAUAUUAACCGGCUCAAUAGAAUAAAAAUAAACAUAUUAUUUAUUCUCGGAAAUUCUUUAGACAAGUAAUAUGUAUUAUAUAUAUAUAUAUAUAUAUAUAUAUAUAUAAAAUCGCAUACAGUUACAUUAUAAAUAUACACAAUGAUAUGAAAAGCGUUCAAAACGUGUGUCUGGAUACCUAGAUAAAUAUAGAUUUGGUAACUUGUAAUAUAUUGUAUAUCUUAUCGAUUUAAACGACGCGAUUUAAAUACGUGGAGUCCUCGAUUUACGAAACUUUGUCGACAAGUUUUUAUUAAAUAAAUAUAUUGCAAAAACGGAUUGCUCUUGGUAUUUAUUGGUCAUUUAUUAUGAUACGCAGUUAACUUUAUAAAAUAUAUUAAUUUUCUCGCUUAUGUUGAAUGGCCACUCCGCGAACAAAAUUCUGCCGAAAAAACUUCAUAAAACGAGGUUUUUUGAAAGUUUAUUAACAUACAUAAGACUCAUCGUGAAUCUUCGAUCGGGACAACGUUGCGAAUAAAACAAUUGUAUAUAAUUACAAAUAAUUACAAUAUUUUGACAAAGAAAAGCAAUUGCAUAUUUCAUGUUAUGUAGGAUAAAAAAGAUCAAACUUAUUCGAGAUAAAUAGAUAUGAAAAGGCAAUUUUUAAGUCGUAGAAUUUUCUUGGAAAAUGUUUCUUGUCUUGUGUAAUAAUUCGUAACUGCGGAUUCUUACGAUCAUCUCUCAGCUCAGUCGAAGGUUAAUUCGCGGUUGGCCAUAUAAGAAAGUUCAACGAUCUCAUUAUUUCCACAAUUGU
This is a long non-coding RNA of Formica exsecta, 1564 nucleotides long. RefSeq lists it as uncharacterized. The record is from RefSeq and is a predicted model, not a curated record. Lineage: Eukaryota; Metazoa; Arthropoda; Insecta; Hymenoptera; Formicidae. The transcript is spliced from 3 exons.